UACAGAGGGUGCAAGCGUUGUCCGGAAUCACUGGGCGUAAAGGGCGCGUAGGCGGCCCGGUAAGUAGGAGGUGAAAUCUCACGGCUCAACUGUGAGGCUGCCUUCUAGACUGCCAGGCUCGAGCACAGUAGAGGCUGGUGGAAUUCCCGGUGUAGCGGUGGAAUGCGUAGAGAUCGGGAAGAACAUCUGUGGCGAAGGCGGCCAGCUGGGCUGUUGCUGACGCUGAUGCGCGACAGCGUGGGGAGCAAACAGG
RNAcentral lists this ribosomal RNA (253 nucleotides) under uncultured bacterium. RNAcentral's name for it is "partial 16S ribosomal RNA". It matches the Rfam family "Bacterial small subunit ribosomal RNA", at positions 524 to 776 of the family's 1533-position model. The record is from RNAcentral.